GACGAACGCUGGCGGCGUGCUUAACACAUGCAAGUCGAACGGAAAGGCCCUGCUUGCAGGGUACUCGAGUGGCGAACGGGUGAGUAACACGUGGGUGAUCUGCCCUGCACUUCGGGAUAAGCCUGGGAAACUGGGUCUAAUACCGGAUAGGAGCCAUUUUUAGUGUGAUGGUUGGAAAGUUUUUUCUGUGUAGGAUGAGCUCGCGGCCUAUCAGCUUGUUGGUGGGGUAAUGGCCUACCAAGGCGGCGACGGGUAGCCGGCCUGAGAGGGUGGACGGCCACAUUGGGACUGAGAGACGGCCCAGACGCCUACGGGAGGCAGCAGUGGGGAAGAUUGCACAAUGGGCGCAAGCCUGAUGCAGCGACGCCGCGUGGGGGAUGACGGCCUUCGGGUUGUAAACUCCUUUCGCUAGGGACGAAGCUUUUUGUGACGGUACCUAGAUAAGAAGCACCGGCUAACUACGUG
Molecule: ribosomal RNA, 465 nt
Filed under: uncultured bacterium
Lineage: Bacteria
Description: partial 16S ribosomal RNA
Rfam family: Bacterial small subunit ribosomal RNA
Source: RNAcentral